RNAcentral lists this unclassified non-coding RNA (338 nucleotides) under soil metagenome. RNAcentral describes it as "partial contains 5.8S ribosomal RNA, internal transcribed spacer 2, and large subunit ribosomal RNA". The stretch from base 1 to 121 matches the Rfam family "5.8S ribosomal RNA", at positions 35 to 154 of the family's 154-position model. The record is from RNAcentral.
GAUGAAGAACGUAGUGAAAUGCGAUAAGUAAUGCGAAUUGCAGAAUUUCCGUGAGUCAUCGAAUCUUUGAACGCACAUUGCGCCCCAUGGUAUUCCGUGGGGCAUGCCUGUUCGAGCGUCAUUUACCCCCUCAAGCUCCGCUUGGUGUUGGGCGUCUGUCCCGCUUCGCGCGCGGACUCGCCCCAAAGGUAUUGGCAGCGGUCGUGCCAGCUUCUCGCGCAGCACAUUGCGCUUCUCGAGGCACCGGUGGGCCCGCGUCCAUCAAGCUCACCCCCCCAGUUUGACCUCGGAUCAGGUAGGGAUACCCGCUGAACUUAAGCAUAUCAAUAAGCGGAGGA